This is a non-coding RNA of Thamnophis sirtalis, 1503 nucleotides long. NCBI's taxonomy places the organism in Eukaryota, Metazoa, Chordata, Lepidosauria, Squamata, Natricidae. The record is from RefSeq and is a predicted model, not a curated record.
UUAGAGGGGACUAUAAAGCACUGUGAAGUGGUAUAUAAAUCUAAGUGCUAUUGCUAUUAAAAUGUAGACAUCAGAAUCAGGAAAUAUGAAGAAGUUAUUAUAAGCAAAUUCAGACUCACAUAAAAGAUGAGAUCAAUUGUUCUAUUGGUAAUAAACUUACCCAUGGAAGUAUUGUUCUAAAGUGGGCAUUAGCCUCCUCUCUUUUACUAUGUAACUUUUGUCAAUGAGCAGAGGAUAUGUUGUUAGUUCAAAAGAGAACAUAAAAAUUCCAAAAACAUACCAGAAGAGAACUUCUAUCGUAAAUGAGGUUGUGAUGAAACCUAUAGUUUAAAAAAACCCCAUGCUGAAUAGUAAUCAGAUGAGCUGUCCCAGGAGCAAAAGAGAAAGAUGAAAGGAACUAACUUUACACUCAGAUAAGAAGCUUCGCAGGGCAACAUGUUUGAUAAGAAGAAACAUGAGCCUACGAGAUCAUAAAAAGUCAUGACGAAGGAGACAAGAAUUUCAAAUAGUCAAAUAUUCCAUUGGCCAGAUGUCAUGGGAAAAGCUGAAAAAGUUUUUGUUUCAACAGAAGGAGCAAAUUAUUAAAGUAAUAAAGGUGAGCUAAAAAUAAAACGAAAUUCUGGCACAGAUUUCCCCAUUCCUAAGAAAAAAGAUGGAGACAAAAAGAAGUUCCUUGAAGGCAAACUAUCCCAGCCCAUGCAUACGGGUCUUGCUCCCAAUGAGUAUAGAUUGAAUCAGGCACAGAAAGAACUUCCUUUCUGUGUCCCUCCUGCCUCAUUGUUCCAAUGGUUAAUAGGCAUUUAUAAAAACACUGUAUAGCAGAGGGUCUAGAUUGCAAUGUGCAGUAUGCUAUUUCAAACUUCUCUUCAGUGGCCCUAAUGAUAAGCAGUGUAUGACUGGUUAUGAUUUUUCAACACUUGUACACCCAUUCAAUGGUCAACUUAUUGUGGAGGUUUCUACCUAACUGCUGGAAAAUUGGUCAAUUAUUGAUGUUUUCUGGUCCAACUGGAUAGCAACUUGGUUCUGGAGCAAAGAACUUGAUCCACAGCAAACAGCAUUGCAGUAAUGUUUGCAUAAAGUGUUUACUUUCCUGGCUGAAGCAUUUCCCUCCCGAGAUGAAAAGCAUGCAGGUCUUGGUGCCCAACUUCAAAUCCAAAAUAGCUAUAAUUUUCUUCUCUCUAGAAACACAAUACUACAUCCAGGAACCUAAUCCCAAUCAAGGCUUAGAGAGUACACCAUGGACAGCCAAAAAUCCAAACUGAUAAAUCAUUGAACAAACAACCAAGCUAAAAUCAUCCUAUUCCAGACACAUUAUGCAAACAUCCAGCUUUCUGGAAAAAGCUCUAAUGCUGGGAAAUUGGAAGGAAAUAGAAGACAACAAACCAACAAAAAGAUUUUCACUGGUGCAGGUAUGCUGGUCCAAAACCUAGCCUGAAGAUGGCGAGUGACACCUCACUGAAAUGUUGCCAAGACAAUCUCAAUCUUACACAGGAAAAGACCCGA